UCCCGAAACUCCGCAUGCCCAC
This 22-nucleotide microRNA is filed under the name Asparagus officinalis (garden asparagus). Its description in RNAcentral is "aof-miR12164". Lineage: Eukaryota; Viridiplantae; Streptophyta; Magnoliopsida; Asparagales; Asparagaceae. The record is from miRBase by way of RNAcentral.